Capra hircus (goat) is the source of this 72-nucleotide non-coding RNA. The record is from the annotation of a RefSeq genome assembly. Lineage: Eukaryota; Metazoa; Chordata; Mammalia; Artiodactyla; Bovidae.
CCCCUGAUGGUCCAGUGGUUAGGACUCGGUGCUUUCACUGCCGUGGUCCAAGUUCAAUCCCUGGUCGGGGAA